Molecule: non-coding RNA, 1434 nt
Organism: Chelonoidis abingdonii (Abingdon island giant tortoise)
Lineage: Eukaryota; Metazoa; Chordata; Testudines; Testudinidae
Source: RefSeq, a predicted model, not a curated record
AGGAAGAAGAGAUGCCAGAUGUAGAAAUUGACAUUGAUGACCUUCUUGAUGCAACUAAUGAAGAGGAGAGAGCUAUCAAAUUACAGGAAGCUCUUGUAGACUGCUACAAACCAACUGAGGAAUUUAUCAGAGAACUGCUAACUCGGAUAAGAGGGAUGAGAAAGCUAAGCCCCCCUCAAAAGAAGAGUAUAUAACUACUCAAAUAGUAGCACUCUUACAAGAAACCUAGCAAGGGAAAUGGGACUUUAACUACAAGACCUUUAUUAAAAUAGAGUUGUCUUUCCGAAAAACUUUUGUUUGGUUUGGUUCAGUUUUGACGUUUACUCAAGGGAGUCCUAUUUCAUCUGCUUUUAAGGGUUUUUUUUAAGUGUCAAUUUUUUUAUCAAGGAUACCAAUGUUUUUGGAUGCUGCUCAACUAUCCUACUAAAGGAUUAUUGAACCAGGUGAAGAACCCAGGCAUUAGUGACCACGCCAUAGCAAUGAAGGGCAGCAAUCCCACGUGGUGAAUCAGAAGAGUAUGUAAACCUGUAGAGCUAGAAGAAUUGGCUUUUUAUUUUCCCCUAGCAACUAGUUGGAUAACAUUUUUAGUUGGUUGUACAUUUAACUCAUGGAUGUCAAGUUUCUUGUGCUUGUAUGUACAUAAGUUGUAAAGUGGGGGUGUGAAUACUGUUUCACGUGGCUGGAAGGGGAGUUGUUACUGUAAACUAUUUAAAUGGUGGCUGAAGCAAACGUGUUACCAGAGGGCAAGUGUUUAGAUUACCAAAAUGAGUGCUGCCAUUUUAUAAAUCCAUUUUAAAGCACCAAGGUGAAGAAUUUCAGCAUAUCUUCUCAUACAAAAAGCGACAUAUGAGAACUGGGGAGUUUAAGGGCUUCAUUUGUAGACUUCUAAUUGUUUUAUUGACUUUGAUGCUUUGCCAGAUCAUUGCGUCUUCACCUCACAGUGUGUUAGAGUUUUAUUAACCUACUGUAUAAGAGCCUGACAUACCACCUUGAGAAAUGUCAAUCACCAUCUAAAAAAUGUUUCACAGUGUGGGGGAAAGAAGUGCUACCAGAGCAAACUAAAAGCACUGUUUUGCAUUGGAGGUUUUAAUGCAGAUCCCCCUCUCAAUAAAAAACAGUGUAGCAUUAGUUUAUAGCUCUGUCCCCAGAACUAGGGGGAACUUGUUAGUUAUGGGUCCUCCUUUCUUAUGAAAGCAAGAAUGGAAUACUUUCAGUGGAUCCCUGACACUUCUUAAUUAAGGACAUUUUCCAGAUGUUCUGUAAGCUACCAUAUGCCAGUAGAUGAAUUUAGUCAGGCAUUUUAUAUCAAAGGUGCUCUGAACAUAUUUUAUUUUUAAAAAUAAAUACGUUUGUGAAUUUUAUGUAUGCUGGCAAGCUUUUUUAAAUGUAUUUAAUUUUGUAAUGUUUAUCAAUGAUUUUAUUUACCAGAUAUUU